This 500-nucleotide ribosomal RNA is filed under the name uncultured bacterium. RNAcentral's name for it is "bacterial SSU rRNA". It matches the Rfam family "Bacterial small subunit ribosomal RNA", at positions 66 to 562 of the family's 1533-position model. The record is from RNAcentral.
GCUUGCUAUUUUUAUGAAGAGCGGCGAACGGGUGAGUAACGCGUGGGAAAUCUGCCGAGUAGCGGGGGACAACGUUUGGAAACGAACGCUAAUACCGCAUAACAAUGAGAAUCGCAUGAUUCUUAUUUAAAAGAAGCAAUUGCUUCACUACUUGAUGAUCCCGCGUUGUAUUAGCUAGUUGGUAGUGUAAAGGACUACCAAGGCGAUGAUACAUAGCCGACCUGAGAGGGUGAUCGGCCACACUGGGACUGAGACACGGCCCAGACUCCUACGGGAGGCAGCAGUAGGGAAUCUUCGGCAAUGGGGGCAACCCUGACCGAGCAACGCCGCGUGAGUGAAGAAGGUUUUCGGAUCGUGAAACUCUGUUGAUAGAGAAGAACGUUAAGUAGAGUGGAAAAUUACUUAAGUGACGGUAUCUAACCAGAAAGGGACGGCUAACUACGUGCCAGCAGCCGCGGUAAUACCUAGGUCCCAAGCGUUGUCCGGAUUUAUUGGGCGUU